GACGAACGCUGGCGGCGUGCCUAACACAUGCAAGUCGAACGGAGAUACGAUUUCGGUUGUAUCUUAGUGGCGAACGGGUGAGUAACGCGUGAACAACCUGACUCUAAGAGGGGGAUAACACUCGGAAACGGGUGCUAAUACCGCAUAAGACCACGACCCGGCAUCGGGAUGAGGUCAAAGGAGCAAUCCGCUGAGAGAGGGGGUCGCGUCCCAUCAGAUAGAUGGCGGGGUAACGGCCCACCAUGUCAACGAUGGGUAGCCGAGCUGAGAGGCUGAUCGGCCACACUGGAACUGAGACACGGUCCAGACUCCUACGGGAGGCAGCAGUGGGGAAUAUUGGGCAAUGGGCGCAAGCCUGACCCAGCAACGCCGCGUGAGGGAAGAAGGCUUUCGGGUUGUAAACCUCUGUCCUUGGUGACGAAACAAAUGACGGUAGCCAAGGAGGAAGCCCCGGCUAACUACGUGCCAGCAGCCGCCGUAA
RNAcentral lists this ribosomal RNA (481 nucleotides) under uncultured bacterium. RNAcentral describes it as "partial 16S ribosomal RNA". It matches the Rfam family "Bacterial small subunit ribosomal RNA", at positions 28 to 523 of the family's 1533-position model. The record is from RNAcentral.